RNAcentral lists this ribosomal RNA (369 nucleotides) under uncultured bacterium. RNAcentral's name for it is "bacterial SSU rRNA". It matches the Rfam family "Bacterial small subunit ribosomal RNA", at positions 29 to 402 of the family's 1533-position model. The record is from RNAcentral.
AUUGAACGCUGGCGGCAUGCCUUACACAUGCAAGUCGAACGGCAGCACGGGAGCAAUCCUGGUGGCGAGUGGCGAACGGGUGAGUAAUAUAUCGGAACGUGCCCAGUCGUGGGGGAUAACGUAGCGAAAGCUACGCUAAUACCGCAUACGAUCUAUGGAUGAAAGCGGGGGAUCGCAAGACCUCGCGCGAUUGGAGCGGCCGAUAUCAGAUUAGGUUGNGGUGGGGUAAAGCCCACCAAGCCGACGAUCUGUAGCUGGUCUGAGAGGACGACCAGCCACACUGGGACUGAGACACGGCCCAGACUCCUACGGAGGCAGCAGUGGGGAAUCUUGCUCAAUGGGCGAAAGCCUGAAGCAGCGACGCCGCGU